CCCUUAGAUGUUCUGGGCUGCACGCGUGCUACAAUGAAGCGUCCAACAAGAUGCGAAGCCGAAAGGCUCAGCGGAUCUUUGAAGUCGUUUCGUGACCGGGACAGUUGAUUGCAAUUAUUCGACUCGAACGAGGAAUUCCUUGUAAUCGCGAUUUAUCAUAUCGCGCUGAAUACGUCCCUGCCCUUUGUACACACCGCCCGUCGCUCCUACCGAUUGAGCGAUCCGGUGAAUUAUUUGGAGUGUCCACGCAAGCCAAUCCGUUUACGUGGGUGCGAAAUUUUGUAAACCUUAUCGCUUAGAGGAAGGAAAAGUCGUANCA
RNAcentral lists this ribosomal RNA (319 nucleotides) under uncultured eukaryote. RNAcentral's name for it is "partial 18S ribosomal RNA". It matches the Rfam family "Eukaryotic small subunit ribosomal RNA", at positions 1470 to 1796 of the family's 1831-position model. The record is from RNAcentral.